UGGAGGAACCACGUGGAGAGACAGGC
This 26-nucleotide non-coding RNA is filed under the name Homo sapiens (human). Lineage: Eukaryota; Metazoa; Chordata; Mammalia; Primates; Hominidae. The record is from RNAcentral.